This 499-nucleotide ribosomal RNA is filed under the name Stutzerimonas stutzeri. RNAcentral's name for it is "bacterial SSU rRNA". It matches the Rfam family "Bacterial small subunit ribosomal RNA", at positions 69 to 564 of the family's 1533-position model. Lineage: Bacteria; Pseudomonadati; Pseudomonadota; Gammaproteobacteria; Pseudomonadales; Pseudomonadaceae. The record is from RNAcentral.
AUGAGUGGAGCUUGCUCCAUGAUUCAGCGGCGGACGGGUGAGUAAUGCCUAGGAAUCUGCCUGGUAGUGGGGGACAACGUUUCGAAAGGAACGCUAAUACCGCAUACGUCCUACGGGAGAAAGUGGGGGAUCUUCGGACCUCACGCUAUCAGAUGAGCCUAGGUCGGAUUAGCUAGUUGGUGAGGUAAAGGCUCACCAAGGCGACGAUCCGUAACUGGUCUGAGAGGAUGAUCAGUCACACUGGAACUGAGACACGGUCCAGACUCCUACGGGAGGCAGCAGUGGGGAAUAUUGGACAAUGGGCGAAAGCCUGAUCCAGCCAUGCCGCGUGUGUGAAGAAGGUCUUCGGAUUGUAAAGCACUUUAAAUUGGGAGGAAGGGCAGUAAGCUAAUACCUUGCUGUUUUGACGUUACCGACAGAAUAAGCACCGGCUAACUUCGUGCCAGCACCCGCGGUAAUACUAAGGGUGCGAGCGUUAAUCUGAAUUACUGGGCGUAGA